CUGAAGAAACAGGACCUACUCAUCAAGGGUCUGACCAAGGAGAUGUGGACACUAGGAGGUCAAGGACAAGGUUCACUGAGGGGACACUCAGGAGGGUGACGGGGCCAAGGAGGGGACGGGCAGGAGCAGGAGACAGGGCAGCAGGCCACUUGGGGAGGAAGGCAACUAGACCCUUGCGGGGAGCGGAUGCCUCGUAGGAGGGCUUGGCACACAGUAGGCCCCUCACUGGGCGGCACAUGGGUGAGAGAACGAGUAUGUGGUCACCCCAGCCGGCCAUGCCCACCAGGAGGCCCGGAUUCCGUCUGGCCAGGCACCCCUGGGGUCCCGUUCUCGGCUCCCUCGGCACUGCUUUAGUGGACAUCGGCCAUGGGAGACUUGAAUCGAGGCGGGUGUCUGGAUGGAGGGAGUGGGACAGGAGGGAGUCCCCAGACCCCAUCCUAGAAGGACUGGCAGGAGGUAUUCAGGAGAUUCAAGGAAGGGAAAGCUAGCUAACUUCAAAUAUUCGAAAGGAUGUAAAAAUGGAGAAGGGCCCGGCUCCUUCCAGAGGCUGCUGAGAACAGACCCGGGACCAGCCUCAGGGCAGUGGGGACAGACAGCUCAGCCGAAGAAACUGGUAGUCUUGCAGUGGGAUGGCCCUCCCUGGCCCUGGAGCUUUUCGAAGAAUCAUAGCACUGGAGGGACCUCAGAGGGAUCUCCUUCCCGGCCUCUGCCCAAAGCCCGGACCCCCUCCCCCCAGCUUUCCUCGGAUGGCCUCAGGCCUCUGCCAGGAGGGCACCAGGGGAAGCUUCCAGCUUCGGCUGCCAAGACACAAGCCCAGAAGAGCUGGCACUGUCUGCCAGCCCCUCUCCAAAGGAGAACAGAAGUCAGAACCUUCUGCCUCGGGGUGUCCCCGAGCACCAGGCCAGCAGAACCUUCCAGAAAGUUGCUCCUGCCCCACGUACCUGGCCAGCGGCGCUUCCCAGGGGCAGUGUCAGGGAGACUGCAGAACAAAGAGGAAGCAACAAACUCCUGGCAAGCGGUGAGCAAAGCACCACGGAGAUGUGAGGUUUCAGGCUUCCAAUGGAAAAUAUCUGGUCUCAGCUCCGAAGUGUGUGGGGAGGUGCAGAGCUCCACGGGGUUCUCCCAACUCCACAGUGACCAGCUCUCUGUUCACCACCAUUCCUGAAUCCCACAUUGCUGCGGACUUAUCAAGAGCCUCCUGAGCAGACGCGGGGCUGGGAGUCGGGACCCAGCGCUGUGUGGAGCCUGGGUGCUGGCUGGGUCUGUCCACGCACAGAUGACAUUCAGCAGAAGCAAACAAGGGUCGAUCCCACAGCGGCUUAAACCUUCCCAGGGACUGGAAGGCCCAGAAGGCCCCACUCAGGAAUGCCAAGGCCAAGUACACAACUCGCUGGGAGACGCGACAGGGGACCACCCCUGAGGGCUUGUGGAAGCUUUAAAAAGAGAAGAAGAGAUGGGAAUUGAAAAGCAGAUUUUCUUGCCAAUUUUGACAACCUAAACCCCAUUCCUCCUAUACACACCCCCCUCUACACACCCUUCCGCACACCCUAACACUAGGGCUUCACACGUACCCUGACCCACACAAAUACACAGGAAGGGCUGCUGUCUUGGAUAUUCUUGGAGGACACAGUUUCACUCCGAUCUUUCAGCUGGGCUCAAAUUUCCUCUCUCUAUUCAGGGAAAAAAAUCACACUUUCAAAACUGCCUUUGCUCCACAGAUUGGAAGCCCCAGGAACUGGCUGAUCCCGAGGCCCUGUGCGGCUUCACCGUGGUUUUAUUUAUGAACACCCUCCCUCUCUUGCAAAUGAGAAAUUGUGAAAUCCUUUUUAAACUGAGGGCUCUUCUACCGACUGAGCCGGUUUUUCCAAAAAGCAGAAACCACUGACCCACUGGCGGGUUUCUUUUGACAUUUAGACGUCAAAGAUUAAUAAAAUAGACUUAACUCCCAUUGCCAAGCUUCCAAGGCAUUUUAAACGUGCCCAUCUCGGUGAGAUCUGGCACCAUCAUAACCACUUUAUAGAUGUGGAAACCAACAUUUAACCAAACGAUGAUCAGGCCUGCUGAAAAACUCCCCAGUGAGUCAAUUAUAAAACACACACAGGCUGGGAACCAAGAAAUGAAUAGUCAACUAGUCGUGAUAUAGGAACAUGACUUUCUUCUUUGCACUGUGAGGAGCGAUUUAAUCGAUUCUAGGGACCAGUUCCUUCUCCCCCUGGAACAGAAUGCAAAUCUUUGGCUCUCCUUGCCUCCAAGAGGGGAGCCUGGCUCUGGUGUGCCUCUAUAGCCAGACCCAGUUCUAGGACUCAGAGCAUCUCAUCUGGGGAUCCUGACCUAGGGUCCACCCCAAGGCCUGAAUAGAAUCUGGGGGUCCUUGAAUUUGGAUGGGGGAAAAAAUUUCCACUAACUUCAUUUUUUUAAAGAUUUUAUUUAUUUAUUUGACAGAGAGACAGUGAGAGAAGGAACACAAGCAGAGGGAGCGUCAGGGAGAGGGAGAAGCAGACUCCCUACUGAGCAGGGAGCCCGAUGUGAGACUUGAUCCCAGGACCCUGGAUCAUGACCUGAGCCAAAGGCAGAAGCUUAACCAACUGAGCCACCCAGGCACCUUAUGACAUGCUUCUUAAAACGUUAUUUAGAGAAGGGGUCCAUAGGCUUCCUCAACCACCAUGUGUAACACACAAAAGGUGAAGAAACCCGGUGAGACAGACAUUAGAAAGAUGGGCUCAGAGAAGUUAAAACACUUGCCCGAGGUUGCCCAGCUAGGAUUCAAGACCUGCUCAGUCAGGCUCCAGAGCCCACCUGUAUGGUAUGACUUCCCUUUCUCUGAGAUGACUUAGACUCUGAUUUUAAUGGGCAUCUGGUGCCUUCCCAGAGAGGCCGUGCAGGGAACGAAAACAUCUUAUAACCCAGCAGUGACUCCUAAAUGUGAGUUUCUCUGCGAAAACUUCUUUAUUCCCCCUUGUUUGGAAAAUGGGCUAGUUAGAUUUCAAGAAGCAAAUUAAGAGUCAAGAACCCAGAUUCUAGAAAUAUUCAAAUUCACUAGAGAUCGGAGAAAUGCAAAUUACAACCACAUUAGGAGAGAGCAUUUUACACUCAUCAAAAUGGCAAAAAUUAAGAGGGUGGAGAUGAGAGGGUAGAGUGGUGGCAACACUGCAGACAGGCAGGAGAGAUCGAGAUGCUGAGAAUCCAGAAGCCACAACAGGUCGGGGGUGGAGCUCUCACACACACACACACACACACACACACACACACACACACACCCCUGCCUGGCAGAGCCGGUCUUCUCUGGCAAACGUAGGUGACA
Molecule: long non-coding RNA, 3301 nt
Organism: Lutra lutra (Eurasian river otter)
Lineage: Eukaryota; Metazoa; Chordata; Mammalia; Carnivora; Mustelidae
Exons: 3
Source: RefSeq, a predicted model, not a curated record